RNAcentral lists this transfer RNA (80 nucleotides) under Neurospora crassa. RNAcentral's name for it is "tRNA-Leu (GAG) (tRNA-Leu-GAG-1-1)". It matches the Rfam family "tRNA". Rfam says of the family: Transfer RNA (tRNA) molecules are approximately 80 nucleotides in length. The record is from RNAcentral. Lineage: Eukaryota; Fungi; Ascomycota; Sordariomycetes; Sordariales; Sordariaceae. RNAcentral also lists the same sequence under 1 other name.
GCACGGUUAGCGCAAUGGUCUAGCGCGCCACUUGGGUUGAGAACCAGAUAAAGACCCGGGCUCGAAUCACGGACCGUGCA